ACUGCGGUAGGAUCAUUGUCGGUUCGAGACCCUGAAUCGUGUAGGGGACGGAGCUCGCCUCCCUCCCCGCCCCCAAAACCUCGGCGACGCGCGGACACUUGGCCUUGCAGCGAUGCGCUGGAGGGCCAAGCUAAAGGGUCCCGCGCCGUCGCGGUCGAGGGUCACAUCGAAUGCCGCGAUCGAAAGCGUGGAUUCCCCGCGGUGCGAAGAGACUCGGACGCAAAAUCUGGAUCACAACUGGUGGCUCCGAAACGACGUAUGUGUCGGAGGGAGCGGCCCCUGCUCGGUUGUAGUUCGGAGGAGGUCCGGGCCCCGUCCCCCGUUGAGAUUGCAUGGCUCGAUCGUGUGCGCGGCGCUGUGCCAGGGAUCCGAGGAUUCAUCGGCGGCAAGUCGGGACUGUGGGUGCACUCGCAUGAUGGCGUGGCAGGGGCCCCCGUCCGACGACAAGACUCUCCCUCUCGGCGACUCCCACCUUUGCGAGGUGAUGGGGCGGGGACACACCACAGCGUUCUUCGUCGCACCCCUCGGGUGCUCGGAGGGCGGGAUGUGUCAACACCCAACACACGGGUGCGCACCGCGCACCUUAGAAAUCCAAAAGAAUGAAGUGCGAUCCAGCGCCUUGUGCGCCUGGGUCGGACGAAAGAGAAGAAACAUAACGAAAUCACGACUCUCGGCAACGGAUAUCUCGGCUCUCGCCACGAUGAAGAAUGUAGCGAAAUGCGAUACUUAGUGUGAAUUGCAGAAUCCCGUGAAUCAUCAAGUCUUUGAACGCAAGUUGCGCCCGAGGCCUCGGCCAAGGGCACGUCUGCUUGGGCGUCGCACUCCAAAAUUGCCCUCCCCCGCGAGGAGCGUAGAUGGCCGUCCGUGUCCGCAAGUGGGGCGGUCGGCUGAAAUGAGCACGAGGUCCGUCGAUCCGUCGCGACGAGCGGUGGUUCCCAAAGGCCGGCGUUGGUUUGCGCUGAUCGAGCGAUGCCUCGUGUGGAACUUUGUCUUUGGUGCCCCGGCCCGCCAGAGUGCGGGCAUGGUGCAUCUCUACCGCGUCCCCAAGUCAGG
This 1053-nucleotide ribosomal RNA is filed under the name Juniperus maritima. RNAcentral's name for it is "eukaryotic LSU rRNA". The stretch from base 666 to 819 matches the Rfam family "5.8S ribosomal RNA". Lineage: Eukaryota; Viridiplantae; Streptophyta; Pinopsida; Cupressales; Cupressaceae. The record is from RNAcentral.